AGGGCACCACCAGGAGUGGAGCCUGCGGCUUAAUUUGACUCAACACGGGAAAACUUACCCGGCCCGGACACUGGAAGGAUUGACAGAUUGAGAGCUCUUUCUUGAUUCAGUGGGUGGUGGUGCAUGGCCGUUCUUAGUUGGUGGAGCGAUUUGUCUGGUUAAUUCCGAUAACGAACGAGACUCUAGCCUACUAAAUAGACUGUUCAGCUUUAUAGCCGGAAUCACUGGGCGUGUAGCUCUCCGCAAGGGGGGUUGCAUGUUCGGCUCUGGUGACGUUGGCAGUGCUUCUUAGAGGGACAGGCGGCGGUUCAGCCGCACGAAACAGAGCAAUAACAGGUCUGUGAUGCCCUUAGAUGUCCGGGGCUGCACGCGCGCUACACUGAAGUGAUCAGCGUGCAAUUUACGUUUGGCGAUCUGUCAAGAUUGCCCAACCCGUUGAACCUUCUUCGUGAUUGGGAUAGGGGAUUGUAAUUAUUCCCCUUGAACGAGGAAUUCCCAGUAAGCGCAAGUCAUAAGCUU
RNAcentral lists this ribosomal RNA (519 nucleotides) under uncultured eukaryote. Its description in RNAcentral is "bacterial SSU rRNA". It matches the Rfam family "Eukaryotic small subunit ribosomal RNA", at positions 1161 to 1637 of the family's 1831-position model. The record is from RNAcentral.